GUUGAACGCUGGCGGCGUGCCUAAUACAUGCAAGUCGAGCGAACGGACGAGAAUCUUUCUUCUCUGAUGUUAGCGGCGGAUGGGUGAUUAACACGUGGAUAACCUACCUAUAAGACUGGGAUAACUUCGGGAAACCGGAUCUAAUAUCGGUUAAUAUUUUGAACCUCAUGGUUCUAAAGUCAAAGCCGUUCUUGCUGUCACUUAUUGAUGUAUCCGCGCUGCAUUAGCUAGUGGGUAAGGUAACGGCUUACCAAGGCAACGAUGCAUAGCCGACCUGUGAGGGUGACAGGCCACACUGGAACUAGGACACGGUCCAAACGCCAACGGGAGGAAGCAGUAGGAAUACUGCAGCAAGGGGCGAAGGCCUAACGAAGCAACGCGGGGGGGGUGAUGAGGGUCUUCGAAUGGUAAAAAUCUGUUAUUAGGAAAGAAGAUAGGUAUAAGUAACUGUGCACAUCUUGAGGGUACAUAAGAAGAAAGCCACGGCUAACUAGGU
Molecule: ribosomal RNA, 496 nt
Filed under: uncultured bacterium
Lineage: Bacteria
Description: partial 16S ribosomal RNA
Rfam family: Bacterial small subunit ribosomal RNA
Source: RNAcentral